GAGGGUACAGCUCAGUGGUAGAGUGCAUGCUUAGCAUGCAUGAGGUCCUGGGUUCAGGUCCCACUACCUCCA
Molecule: transfer RNA, 72 nt
Filed under: Camelus bactrianus (Bactrian camel)
Lineage: Eukaryota; Metazoa; Chordata; Mammalia; Artiodactyla; Camelidae
Also listed under: 1 other name
Rfam family: tRNA
About the family: Transfer RNA (tRNA) molecules are approximately 80 nucleotides in length. Their secondary structure includes four short double-helical elements and three loops (D, anti-codon, and T loops).
Source: Rfam by way of RNAcentral